CAGAGUUGCAAAACUCCCUAAACCAUUGUGAACCUACCCUAAACAGUUGCUUCGGCGGCGCCCGGACAGGCCCGCCGGAGACCACUAACUCUUGUUUUUAACACUGGCCUCUCUGAGUUUACUGUACUGUAAUAAGUCA
Molecule: unclassified non-coding RNA, 139 nt
Filed under: soil metagenome
Description: partial internal transcribed spacer 1
Source: RNAcentral